Long non-coding RNA from Coturnix japonica (Japanese quail), 1929 nucleotides. Ensembl lists it as uncharacterized. The record is from Ensembl. Lineage: Eukaryota; Metazoa; Chordata; Aves; Galliformes; Phasianidae.
AUGCAUCUGGUAAGAGUUUGGGGCGAGCAGCUGGGCAGCACGUGGUGGGCAGAGCUGCUGGGGUUGUCCAAGUUUGGGUUGGCUAAAGGAUGGGACUCCCCUGGGAAGAGGAGAGUUGUAAAGAACUCAGUGGGCAGGGGAACCUGGAGCACAACCAGAAUCCCCAUGGAAGGCUGCCGGAUGCGUGGCUGCUCCAGAUGUGCUGCUGUCCUCACCUGUGGUGAUUUGCUUUGGCAGCCUGGUCCCAGGCAGCCCAGGCCUUUCCCUGGCCCUGCUGACAUCCACUGGAAUGAAGAGAACUGGGAAUGGGACCCCCAGGACUGUGAAGAGCCGCCGCCUCCAUGGAUGGAAAGAGAGGAUCACCACGGCCAUGAGGAAAUGUUUGUCAAGGACUUGCAGCUGCCUAAUGAGGACUCACUGAAGACCUCCUCUGUGCAGGGAUCAAGGCUAGGGCAACACUUUAGCAAGAUGUCCUCAAAGCGGUUCUGCAGGAGGGGGCCCCGGGCCUUUCCCUGGGAGCCCUAUCCGCGUCACGCUGGGCCUCCACCUCCACAUGCUCAUGGCCCCUGGGAUGCCUGGCAUGAUCCUCCAUGGGAGCACCAGCACUGGAGAGCCAGGGGAAGGAUGCAUCUGCCUGGUCCCAGGCAGCCCAGGCCUUUCCCUGGCCCUGCUGACAUCCACUGGAAUGAAGAGAACUGGGGAUGGGACCCCCAGGACUGUGAAGAGCCGCCGCCUCCAUGGAUGGAAAGAGAGGAUCACCACGGCCAUGAGGAAAUGUUUGUCAAGGACUUGCAGCCGAUACCACAGCUGCGUCACUGGGACUUCUUUGCCCAGCCUGAGUUCCCCGGCCAGGAGCACCAUCCUGCUGAAUUCCUAUGGGAGCAAGAAGUCUUCCAGGACAACUUCUCACCCCAGCACCAUCGUGGCCCACGCCAGAAACGCUGCCGGCUCCUUCGGCCCAUCCAGCAGAGACAGCAUCCGCACAGCCAGUUCUCACCCCAGAGCUCUCAAGGUUUGUGCUGCUUCAGUGUUGGCUGCUGCCCGGGACCCCUCUGUUCUGUGGUGGGUGCAGCCAGCAGCAUCUGCAUGGGGGGGUUUAGCACUUUGUGUAUUAAGUCCUGUUGUGUUUCUGCAGGACACCAUCCAUCCUCCAAACCCUCUCAGUCGAGCUCCCCAGCCAGCCAGCCAGGUGUUAAAGAGCACCUUGGUGCUCCCCAGUCACCUACUGCCUGCAAAAAGAGUCUGCAAAGCGAGAAGCAGGUGGAUGAGGGCCUGCUGGCGGCAAACAGCCAGGUGCUGGAACAGCCUGGGCAUGCAGAGAAAAGCCCAGAGAAGAGCCCAGAGACAAGCCCAGGCACUGACCCCCAGGAAGUGGAGCAGGAGCCAGCAGCAGAAUCAAAGCCAGUUGAGCCAGAAGUUGGAGAGGAAGUUGCAAGCAACCAGCAGCCCUCUGCAUCGGAACUGGAGCCAGUCUCACCAGAGAUGACCAGCACCAAGGAGGAUGAAGGCUUGGAGCUGAUUCCACUGGAGGCUACUGCAGAGCCCAGCACACAGCCCAGCACGGCCAGCUCCAGUGUCUGCACUGAGGCAGCAGCACCAGCCGGGACCGGGCAGCAUCCUUGGGGUUGGACAGAGCUGGCUGCAGGCUUCCAGAGCUUACCCCACCCCCUGCACUCCACACAUUCCCCCACCAGCACAGACCCGCGCUCUGCUGCCAUCCUCACCAAGAAGGAGAGCAUCGAGCAGGGAUACCACGACUUCUGCCUGAAUUUUGCCAUGGUGUCCAUCAUGCUGCUGCAGAAGGAGCCCUCUAUGGAGGGGGUGCUGAUGAAGGCACUGAGAGACAACCUGUGUGAGCUCCGCAACCGCUUCAUCAAGGAGAUGGAGGACUUCAUCCAGGAGUACGAUGAGUUGCACCCCAGCUGCUGA